CAACCCUCAGGCCUCAGUCGCCUGGUGUUGGGGCUUCUACAGCGAUGUAGGCCCCGAAAAUUAGUGGCGGUGCUCUCCAGCACUCCGGGCGCAGUAGUUUAUUCUCGCCUAGGACGUCUGGUAGGCUACCGGCCGUAAAACCACCUAUUUCUCAAGG
RNAcentral lists this unclassified non-coding RNA (157 nucleotides) under uncultured Sordariales. RNAcentral's name for it is "sequence contains ITS2". The record is from RNAcentral. Lineage: Eukaryota; Fungi; Ascomycota; Sordariomycetes; Sordariales.